UAGGGAAUCUUCCACAAUGGACGAAAGUCUGAUGGAGCAACGCCGCGUGAGUGAAGAAGGUUUUCGGAUCGUAAAACUCUGUUGUAAGGGAAGAACACGUACGAGAGUAACUGCUCGUACCUUGACGGUACCUUAUUAGAAAGCCACGGCUAACUACGUGCCAGCAGCCGCGGUAAUACGUAGGUGGCAAGCGUUGUCCGGAAUUAUUGGGCGUAAAGCGCGCGCAGGCGGUUCUUUAAGUCUGAUGUGAAAGCCCACGGCUCAACCGUGGAGGGUCAUUGGAAACUGGAGGGCUUGAGUACAGAAGAGGAGAGUGGAAUUCCACGUGUAGCGGUGAAAUGCGUAGAGAUGUGGAGGAACACCAGUGGCGAAGGCGACUCUCUGGUCUGUAACUGACGCUGAGGAGCGAAGCGUGGGGGAGCAAACAGGAUUAGAUAC
Molecule: ribosomal RNA, 438 nt
Filed under: uncultured bacterium
Lineage: Bacteria
Description: bacterial SSU rRNA
Rfam family: Bacterial small subunit ribosomal RNA
Source: RNAcentral